GGGAUACUGUGGAUCCAGACUCUUGCCUGCGUUACAGUUUAAAAUGCACGUGUGUGGAGGCGUACUGCAGAUAAGUGGAAGCUUUCGUGCUCAUGCGAGACAUCCCCGGACGACACGGCCUUCGGUGUACAGCUAAAAGUGUACAAAAUAAAUACGUGUUUCAUCCGUGGGGGAUGCGUCUUCCUCGAGCAGUUUGACAGCAGAGGUCUCACUCCGAAUCAGUCGGGCGGCAUGAUCUUUUCAUCAGCUGCGGUAAGCGAUGUUGAACAUACCUCGUCUGUCGCUCCACACGAAGCUUCGGGUCUUCUCGGCCACAGCCAUACCCUCCCUUCUCUAUG
Molecule: long non-coding RNA, 338 nt
Organism: Petromyzon marinus (sea lamprey)
Lineage: Eukaryota; Metazoa; Chordata; Hyperoartia; Petromyzontiformes; Petromyzontidae
Source: RefSeq, a predicted model, not a curated record